RNAcentral lists this ribosomal RNA (250 nucleotides) under uncultured archaeon. Its description in RNAcentral is "partial 16S ribosomal RNA". It matches the Rfam family "Eukaryotic small subunit ribosomal RNA", at positions 583 to 910 of the family's 1831-position model. The record is from RNAcentral.
UUCCAGCUCCAAUAGCGUAUAUUAAAGUUGUUGCAGUUAAAAAGCUCGUAGUUGGAUUUCAAGAAAUGCAACUGGGCAACCAGGAUGCUUUCUACCAGUCUUAGACUGUUACUGUGAGAAAAUUAGAGUGUUUCAGGCAGGCAAUUGCAGGAAUACAUUAGCAUGGAAUAACGAAUGUGUCUACAAUUUGGUUGAUUGUAGGUUACAAUUAAUAGGGACAGUUGGGGGCAUUAGUAUUUAAUUGUCAGAG